Molecule: small nuclear RNA, 106 nt
Organism: Erinaceus europaeus (western European hedgehog)
Lineage: Eukaryota; Metazoa; Chordata; Mammalia; Eulipotyphla; Erinaceidae
Source: Ensembl
AUGCUCACUUCAGCAGUACAUAUACUAAAACUGGAAUACUACAGAGAAGAUUAGCAUGGCCCUUGUUUAAGAAUGCAUACAAAUUUGUGAUGUGUUCCAUAAUAUU